ACGCCCACAGUUGCCAGCGUACUCUCUGGAGUGACGGGUACACUGUGGGGACCGCGCUGCUAAAGCGGAGGAAGGAAUGGGCAACGGUAGGUCAGUAUGCCCCGAAUAUCCCGGGCUACACGCGAGCUACAAUGGUUGGUACAAUGGGUAUCUACCCCGAAAGGGGACGGGAAUCUCCUAAAACCAAUCUUAGUUCGGAUUGAGGGCUGCAACUCGCCCUCAUGAAGCUGGAAUCCGUAGUAAUCGCGUUUCAACAGAACGCGGUGAAUACGUCCCUGCUCCUU
Molecule: ribosomal RNA, 284 nt
Filed under: uncultured Methanosaeta sp.
Lineage: Archaea; Methanobacteriati; Methanobacteriota; Methanomicrobia; Methanotrichales; Methanotrichaceae
Description: partial 16S ribosomal RNA
Rfam family: Archaeal small subunit ribosomal RNA
Source: RNAcentral